Myotis brandtii (Brandt's bat) is the source of this 960-nucleotide long non-coding RNA. RefSeq lists it as uncharacterized. NCBI's taxonomy places the organism in Eukaryota, Metazoa, Chordata, Mammalia, Chiroptera, Vespertilionidae. The record is from RefSeq and is a predicted model, not a curated record. The transcript is spliced from 3 exons.
AAUUAGACCUGAAAAAGUUAGAAGUCUGCGUUGCUGUGGCCAGUGGUCUGACAAUUCCAGGUAUCAGCAAGGCCGCGAGGCACUUCCAGUCGUGACAGAGGUGACAUUUCAUCUGCGACCAGAAAACAUUAGAAGGAGCCUGCGAUGUGAGAAGCUGAGGGGACAGCUUCCAGCAAUGGCAUGUGAGAGGCCUUGAGCCGGGAAAGAAUUUGGAGAAACCGAGAGGCGGGCAGUGUGACUGAGGUUCAGCCACUCGAGGAAGAGGGAGAAUUCCUGUGCUUCAGGAAUGUGGAGUACCAGGUGACAAGCAGAGCAGUUCUCACCCCUGGCUGCCCCUGAGAAGACCUGCAGAGCCUUCAAAAUGCCGAUGUCUGGGCCCCACUGCACAAGGACUGAUCAGAAUCUCUGGCUUGAAAAAUCUCUCCAUUUGUUCUCAUUCCAUGCAGACCUGUGAGCGGUUGAUGAAGACUCUCACAGGCUGGAGUCUGGUAACAAUGGCCUGUAAAGCAGGGGUUGUUCUUCCCUAAAGCUGUGGACCCCCGAGCAGCUCACUCAGUGCCCCCAGGCCAAGCCCACUGACCACUGCAUUCAAACAAGGCCCUGGGGGCGAAGCACUGUGCCAUCCUGACUGUGGCCCUGACACAAUUUAGGAUCCAAUGCAGUCACAGACACGAUCAGCAAAAAGUCCUGAGCAAAGAUAUAACUAUUGCGAUAGUAAACUUCUCCCCACGUUCUAUAAAAUGCAUAUUGACUAGGCAAGAGUCCCAAAUGUACUAUGAAGUAUACAUAUGGCCUAUUAAAAUUAACAUGUACCAUAUCUUGACUUUGACUCACUUGAAUCUAAAAUACUACGUUGAAAACAAAAUAAUAAUAAAUAAUAAAAUAAAAUGCUACGUCGAGCUGGUGUGUAUUAACUAAAUAGUAGAACUGUACAGUGGAGGACAUACCCAGCCAGGAGGC